UCCUACGGGAGGCAGCAGUAGGGAAUCUUCGGCAAUGGACGAAAGUCUGACCGAGCAACGCCGCGUGAGUGAAGAAGGUUUUCGGAUCGUAAAACUCUGUUGUUAGAGAAGAACAAGGACGUUAGUAACUGAACGUCCCCUGACGGUAUCUAACCAGAAAGCCACGGCUAACUACGUGCCAGCAGCCGCGGUAAUACGUAGGUGGCAAGCGUUGUCCGGAUUUAUUGGGCGUAAAGCGAGCGCAGGCGGUUUCUUAAGUCUGAUGUGAAAGCCCCCGGCUCAACCGGGGAGGGUCAUUGGAAACUGGGAGACUUGAGUGCAGAAGAGGAGAGUGGAAUUCCAUKUGUAGCGGUGAAAUGCGUARAKGAUAUKGAGGAACACCAGUG
Molecule: ribosomal RNA, 386 nt
Filed under: Enterococcus sp.
Lineage: Bacteria; Bacillati; Bacillota; Bacilli; Lactobacillales; Enterococcaceae
Description: bacterial SSU rRNA
Rfam family: Bacterial small subunit ribosomal RNA
Source: RNAcentral